This 4158-nucleotide long non-coding RNA is filed under the name Medicago truncatula (barrel medic). Its description in RNAcentral is "long non-coding RNA (MTRU_LNC005521)". Lineage: Eukaryota; Viridiplantae; Streptophyta; Magnoliopsida; Fabales; Fabaceae. The record is from RNAcentral.
UCCCCUCUUCUUAAUACCGAUUCUGCGGCGCUCAACAACCAUUUCCUCCUUUUUUUGCACCUUCAGGUAUCUCCUUCUUCUUCCUCUCCUUUUUACACCUUCAAUGUCACAUUUAACGUUAGAUCUAACACUUUUUCACUCGUUCCACUCCUUUUCGUUCAUUUUGUUUAGAUCUCUGCGUUUCUAUUACCUAUACGUUGUUUUUUCUCAAUUCAUUACUAUUUUUCGUGUAAUUUUGAUAAUAUUGCACAAUUUUUAGUCGAUUAAUUUCCUGAUACUAUAAUAAGUAAUUUUUUACUGUUGUAUUUGGCACUUGCGUUUGUUUUGUGUUCAUUAUUCAACAUUCAUGGCUUCUCUAUCAGAUCUAAAGAUGAAUCUCGUUUUUCAGUAUUUUUUUUGGAUUAUUGUCUCUGUAACACUUUUGAUAGAACGUGUGUCCCGUGUUCGACAUGAAUAAUUUGUCAUUACAUUCAGUUAAUUCAUGUACCGUGUCAAUGUGUCAGGGUUGUGUAUGUGUCUUCAUAGAUUUUUGCCGAAUCUCACACGAAGUUACAGACUUUCAUUGUUCAUUUAUUAUAACACCUGAUUCAUACUUUUGCGAAUGUGUAUUUUUCUGUUGCGGAUCUCAUUUCUUCAGUUUGAGUUUAUGUCUGCAUUCAAAGCAUGCUACAUGUGUGUUGUGUUAAGAAUGAAUGACUGUCUGUUUUUUAUUUUAUUUUUUAUUAAAUAAAUAAAAUUUGUGUCAGUUUCAACUGUGUGAUAUAAUGAAUUUGUUUUAUAAGUAGAUUUUGACAACAUGGUUAGAAAGUGGUGUAUAUAUUUGGUUUUUGUAAUACAACUUAAUCAAGUGGAGCGUAAAACAGAGAGAAAAUCCAUUCAAGACGGCAAUUUCUAAUUUAAUGUUGUUUGAGAAAGCUGAACAAUCUGUACACUUGAGUUGUUACACAAUCGGUUGAUAUUAUUUAAGAGAGAAAAGGGAUAUGCCGUAUAAACUUAGUCUUAUGUUCAAUACUUUGCAAUUUUUUUUAAUUACAUUUACAAAGUGGCUUUGCAAAGUGAAUGACUUUUCAAUAUAUUUUUUUUGACGGAGACCUUUCUAAUAUUAUAAUGUAUCAAUAAACAAUGUGUUAGUGGCUUUUGUAUUUUUUUGACCUGAUGAAUGUACUUUUGAAUUAAAAAAAUAAAGAAUAAUGUAUAUACUUUGCACUUGGUGGGUAGAAAAAUAUUUAGGACUUUCCAUUUAUGCUCGUGGACGGUAUAUUUAUUUGUUUUUGGAGAUUUUAUCAAAUUGGGUAAGGUUUAAUUAAUGAUUCUUGUAGGAUUGUCACAAUCACACAGUAACUUUGAUAACUUUGAUUCGUCUUACAAAAUUUACCUUCUUUUAACUUUCAUUUCCAAUUUUAGUUAUUAUUAUUUUUAAAAUUCUACACUACAACUGGUGGUAAACAAGUAUUUUUGUUUUUCUAAAACUUGUUUAAUAAUAAAUGCGAUUAAUUUCUUUCCUUACAAAAAUGAAUAAUAAAAAUAUGAUGAAAGUAUCCCUAAAAAAAUAUAAUGAAAGCAAACAUCACGUGAAAGAUCUGGACCCAUGUCAUGUGAAGAAUAUAUUUGCUUGCAGGAAACAUCAGAAGCGUAUAGUUUGGUAAGAUGUUACGUGCAGGGACCAUUGAUUAUUUUUUCUUUUUGAGGGGAGGGACCAUUGAUUUGGGUAAUAAGGGAGCUUUGGAUUUUUUGGUAUUGGACCAUUGGUUUUAUUGUCACAUAAAGGGUCCAUAUCAAUUAAUUUUGGACCAUUGAUUUUAUUGUCACAUAAAAGGGUACAUUGCAAUUAAAUUUGACACUGUACAUUUAUAAAAAAACAAAAUAAAACUGACGCACUGUCUACCAGAUUAGAUUAAUUUUCGGUUACAACAGAUUGGUAUCCUUUUUUUUUUUUUUUUUGAGGGAACAGAUUGUCACAUAAAGGGUCCAUAUCAAUAAAUUUUCUAAUGAAUUAAAACAUGAUAAUUUUUUUAAUUAAAAUGUACAGUUCAAUAAAAAAAGCAUGUUUUUUAAUACCAAAAUUAGUAGUUUCUUAAACCAAUAUUCUAAACAUUAUGAUUGUAGUGUUGACAGUAGCCUUAUAUUGCUUACUUGAUUAUGUUAUGUGGAUCAUCUCACAUGUAAUUGGCAUCCCGUGUUUUGUGUACAAAAUAUCUCCACGACAUGACAAUGUGUCACAAUGUUUUUGUUGUUUGUUUAGUGAUCGCAGGUUUUGCAAGCUGUCUUUGUUUACUUUUGAAACAAUAAACUAUUCCCGCGAGUUGUCCGUUAUGAAUCCUCGUGUGGUUGAUAAUCUAUGUGCGUGUUCAUUUAUUCAUUCAUUUAAAAAUACUCCUACAAUAAAAAACCUUACUGUAGGAUGGACCACCAGUCCACCACUAGGCAAAUCAAAUUAAUAUAAGCCAAGCAAAUAAUAAAGUUCACUAUGUAGUGUUUGGUAGUGCUGGGAUUAGAGGCUUAGAGCUGCUUUAUUUGGCACAUGCACAUGCACACCCUGCUUGCGGUGGAGUUUGGAGGUUCUUAUUUUGUUGGAUAGGGUUUGGAGGUUCUGAUUCUUAACAGCCUUAGUUUCUGAAUUUCCAAAGAUAAUGUAUAUAUUAUAUUUUUUAAGAGGCCAAGAGAAAAUAUACGAAUAAAAGAGAGGAGGUCUAAUUAAGCACAAGAUGUGUCUCUAAAGAGGACUCAAAAUUAAGUCUCAGUAAAAACUAUAUAAUAAAUAAUGAUUACAUACACACACUUAAUUAUUAUUAUAAAUAUAAUUUAUUUCAUUUCGUUUCGCACACUAUAAAUAGUAUUCACUUUUGUAAAUUAAGGAGAGUAAUGUUGAAAAAAACUUAUUUUUAUUUUAUAAAUACAGAAAAUAGUGUAAAUAUGGGAUUGAAUAGUAGUAUACAAACAUCAAUGUUUUGUUGAGAAACUAGAAGGUGUUGGCCAUACGAAAUAAUUCUUAGUAAGAUUUGAUUUGUUAUGUGGUAGCAAAUAAUAAUGUAAGUGUUAAAGGAGGAUGUUGGAGUUGGAGGGAUAACUUCUGGAGAAAUGACUUAUUUUUUUAUCAUAUUGAAGGUUACAAAAUGAUAGAUGUAUGAGGCAGGAUUCUAUUAGAAAUAUUGUUUCGUUUCAGAAAUGACUUAAGUUUGUUUACCAAUAUGGAUAGUGUUGCACACAUGCACUUGAGAACUACACCUUAGUUAUUGCAGUUUUUUCUAUGAAGGACACACACAUUGUUCAUUCUAAUUCUGUAUGCGUCUAGAGACCAUUAUCUAGAUUGAUGAUUUCAGUCUUGUUACUAUGAAUUGUACUAUAAAUUGCAUAUGUAGACCUGUGUUAAAUGAUCAGAGGAGUGUUGUAACAAAAUGCAUUUUCAUAUUAUUGCAGGUUGCUGAAGAUGGGAGCUGGUGGCCGAACCUCUGUUCCUCCUUCGGCUAGGAAGUCAGAGAAUGACACUGUGAAACGGGUGCCAUUUGAAAAGCCUCCAUUUAGUCUCAGCCAGAUCAAGAAAGCCAUUCCACCUCACUGUUUUAAGCGCUCUGUUAUCCAUUCAUUCUCCUAUGUUGUUUAUGACCUCACCAUAGCCUUCUUCCUCUAUUACGUUGCCACCCAUUACUUCCAGCACCUUCCUCGCCCUCUCUCUUUCUUGGCCUGGCCUGCUUACUGGGCUAUCCAAGGUUGCAUCCUUACCGGUGUUUGGGUCAUUGCACAUGAGUGUGGCCACCAUGCAUUCAGUGACUAUCAAUGGCUUGAUGAUACAGUUGGCCUUAUUCUCCACUCUGCCCUUCUUGUGCCUUACUUUUCAUGGAAAUACAGCCAUCGCCGCCACCAUUCCAACACCGGUUCUCUUGAGCGGGAUGAAGUCUUUGUGCCCAAACAGAAGUCCAGCAUCUAUUGGUACUCCAAAUACCUUAGCAACAACCCACUAGGCAGAGUCCUCACCAUUACCAUCACCCUCACUCUUGGCUGGCCCCUUUACCUGGCUCUCAAUGUUUCAGGCAGGCCUUAUGAUAGAUUUGCUUGCCACUUUAACCCACAUGGUCCCAUUUACUCAGAUCGUGAACGUCUUCAAAUAUAUGUAUCAGAUGCAGGAAUACUUGCAGUGUGCUUCGGGCUUUACCAUCUUGC